UCAGUCGAAGGUGUUGGGACGAGAAGUCUGCACGCGAUAAGAGGUAUUAGCGUCGUGCCAACGAGGGUGUGUAUAUUUGUCACGUCAUCCUUCCGACAACCUAGACAGCGAUGAACGAGGUGCAGCCUAUAAUGAGGUGCGGUCGCUUUUACCAAAAUCUGCAUAUAAUGAACGUGUGAGAUUUGAAUUAUUUCAUUUGAUCAAUUCUUCACUAAGAAGUAUCCUACUUUUGUUCAAAAAAAUAGGUAAAUCGUGAUGAAAUGAGACGGAAUAGACAUCAGGCUGAUGGAAAGUUUUGGAUUAGUUCAAACGCCCAAGGAAGUGAUUGCGAAUGAUGAACGAUCCACAUGAUAAAGUAGUAACCAUGACAUAAAGAAAUAUCGACGAAAAGCACCCCCAUUCAUCAUAACUUCCAUCAUAAGCCCUACCUCAUUCUUUAACAAUCACUUACUCAUAACACUGGCAAUAACGCCAAAUAAGUUUCAGUGCAAAUCAAGAGGGAAAUAAAAUCGACUAAGUAAAUUCAAUUAUUAGUAUUAGAACCCUGUAACUACAUAUUCAUGAGAAAAAUAUUGGAAGGCAGUGGAAAUGAAAUUUUGUCAGCAUCUUGAAAUGUGUUUGCAAAUCGCUACAGGUACUUUCGCCAAACUGUAAAACUGCCAACUUGAAUUCAAACAUCCGUACAUGAACUCUAGUGGAACAGUUCUGGUACGGACGUUUCACCGCACUGUUGGGCAUAUCUCAGUUAAAGCUCGUGAAAUCCAAGUGCUUUCAACCUUGUGACAAGUCGCAGUCAUAACUCAAAGCUACACGUAUAAGAGCUAGAAAAAUUUCAUGGUUGAUGUCAUCGCAGUCUCACGAUUUCGCGACACAAAUAUAGCGAAUGCAUAUCUAAAAUUUCGAGA
Belonocnema kinseyi is the source of this 905-nucleotide long non-coding RNA. RefSeq lists it as uncharacterized. The record is from RefSeq and is a predicted model, not a curated record. NCBI's taxonomy places the organism in Eukaryota, Metazoa, Arthropoda, Insecta, Hymenoptera, Cynipidae. The transcript has 3 exons.